GGAGUCUAACAUGCGCGCGAGUCAUUGGGCGGUACGAAACCCAAAGGCGCAGUGAAAGCGAGGGUCGUCUCUCGGCGACCCAGGUGGGAUCCAUCCUCCCAAGAGCGAUCUGCGGAGGGUGGCGCACCACCGGCCCGUCCCGUCUGCGUCGGCAGUGGGGCGGAGCAAGAGCGUGCACGCUGGGACCCGAAAGAUGGUGAACUAUGCCUGAGUAGAACGAAGCCAGAGGAAACUCUGGUGGAGGUUCGUAGCGAUUCUGACGUGCAAAUCGAUCGUCAAACUUGGGUAUAGGGGCGAAAGACUAAUCGAACCAUCUAGUAGCUGGUUCCCUCCGAAGUUUCCCUCAGGAUAGCUGGCGCUCGAUCGGAGUUUUACCCGCUGAAUUUAAGCAUAUAACUAAGCGGAGGAAACUUUUAAUUUUUCUCAAACUUUAAAUGGGUAAGAAGUCCGGCUCGCUCGACAGGAGCCGGGCGCGUCUCGAAUGCGUGUGCCAAGUGGGCCACUUUUGGUAAGCGGAACUGGCGCUGUGGGAUGAACCAAACGCCCGGUUAAGGUGCCAAACGCUGACGCUCAUCAGACACCAUAAAAGGUGUUGGUUGAUAUAGACAGCAGGACGGUGGCCAUGGAAGUC
RNAcentral lists this ribosomal RNA (631 nucleotides) under Arnemelassa creedi. RNAcentral's name for it is "eukaryotic LSU rRNA". It matches the Rfam family "Eukaryotic large subunit ribosomal RNA", at positions 670 to 1262 of the family's 3401-position model. Lineage: Eukaryota; Metazoa; Mollusca; Gastropoda; Stylommatophora; Camaenidae. The record is from RNAcentral.